RNAcentral lists this ribosomal RNA (484 nucleotides) under uncultured bacterium. RNAcentral describes it as "partial 16S ribosomal RNA". It matches the Rfam family "Bacterial small subunit ribosomal RNA", at positions 30 to 507 of the family's 1533-position model. The record is from RNAcentral.
AUUGAACGCUGGCGGCAGGCCUAACACAUGCAAGUCGAGCGGAUGAAGGGAGCUUGCUCCUGGAUUCAGCGGCGGACGGGUGAGUAAUGCCUAGGGAUCUGCCUGGUAGUGGGGGAUAACGUCCGGAAACGGGCGCUAAUACCGCAUACGUCCUGAGGGAGAAAGGGGGGGAUCUUCGGACCUCACGCUAUCAGAUGAGCCUAGGUCGGAUUAGCUAGUUGGUGGGGUAAAGGCCUACCAAGGCGACGAUCCGUAACUGGUCUGAGAGGAUGAUCAGUCACACUGGAACUGAGACACGGUCCAGACUCCUACGGGAGGCAGCAGUGGGGAAUAUUGGACAAUGGGCGAAAGCCUGAUCCAGCCAUGCCGCGUGUGUGAAGAAGGUCUUCGGAUUGUAAAGCACUUUAAGUUGGGAGGAAGGGCAGUAAGUUAAUACCUUGCUGUUUUGACGUUACCAACAGAAUAAGCACCGGCUAACUUCGUG